UACGGGGGGAGCAAGCGUUGUUCGGAUUUACUGGGCGUAAAGGGCGCGUAGGCGGUCAGCACAAGUCAGUUGUGAAAUCUCCGGGCUUAACCCGGAAAGGUCAACUGAUACUGUGCGACUAGAGUGCGGAAGGGGCAACUGGAAUUCUCGGUGUAGCGGUGAAAUGCGCAGAUAUCAGGAGGAACACCGGUGGCGAAGGCGGGACUCUGGGCCGAUACUGACGCUGAGGAGCGAAAGCGUGGGGAGCAAACAGG
This 254-nucleotide ribosomal RNA is filed under the name uncultured bacterium. RNAcentral's name for it is "partial 16S ribosomal RNA". It matches the Rfam family "Bacterial small subunit ribosomal RNA", at positions 524 to 776 of the family's 1533-position model. The record is from RNAcentral.